AGCCACAAGUCAGUAUUUGUGGUCCAACCUGCCCAAUGUAUUAGAAUUAAUAUGAAUGGCCGCGGUACCCUGACCGUGCUAAGGUAGCGUAAUCAGUUGGCUUUUAAAUGGAGUCAGGUAUGAAUGGAAAAACCGGGUUUAGCUGUCUCCUAAUUACUACAUUGAAUUUACUGUUUAAGUGAAAAAGCUUAAGUUUUGAAAAGGGAAGAGAAGACCCUUAGAAUUUUUUCUAAAGUAAGAUUAUUUCUAUAACGAUUUUGUUGGGGCGACAAAGAAAUAUUUUACAACUUUCUUUUUUAUACGUGCCGAUUGUAUUAAGUAAGGAUAAAUUACCUGAGGGAUAACAGCAUAAUUCUACAGAUGAGUUUGUGACCUCGAUGUUGGACUAGGGAACUAACAAGCUAGCCGCUUGUUG
RNAcentral lists this ribosomal RNA (415 nucleotides) under Madrella ferruginosa. RNAcentral's name for it is "partial 16S large subunit ribosomal RNA". It matches the Rfam family "Archaeal large subunit ribosomal RNA", at positions 1921 to 2659 of the family's 2987-position model. The record is from RNAcentral. Lineage: Eukaryota; Metazoa; Mollusca; Gastropoda; Nudibranchia; Madrellidae.